UGCUAUCUAGCUCAGAGGUAGAGCAGCGAAUUUGUAUUCGUUGGUCGCGGGUUCGACUCUCGCGAUAGCAGCCA
Molecule: transfer RNA, 74 nt
Filed under: Microbulbifer rhizosphaerae
Lineage: Bacteria; Pseudomonadati; Pseudomonadota; Gammaproteobacteria; Cellvibrionales; Microbulbiferaceae
Description: tRNA-OTHER
Rfam family: tRNA
About the family: Transfer RNA (tRNA) molecules are approximately 80 nucleotides in length. Their secondary structure includes four short double-helical elements and three loops (D, anti-codon, and T loops).
Source: RNAcentral